AAAGAAAGAGAGAGAGGAGAAAAGAAAUAAGAAAUCGAUGAGAGGGGAUGUCACAGCCCGAGGCGUUGUGAGGGUUUAUUUAGCUUGGGUCUGUUAAGGCCCCCCUUUUGUACAAAAGCGAGGAAAUUCAGUGAAAGAGGUAGCAGUGACAGUAGUUUCGGGGUACAGUGGCGUAGUCCGUUGGUCAGUUACCUUAAGAAAUUCACAAAAAAUGUUUAUUGCCUUUAUAGUCUUUUUUGGAGGUAAUUAAAUUUUACGUGCAAGUCGUAGGAUGCUUAUAAACAGUUUCAUAUGGUAAAGACUUGGGUAUAUUUAUUGCAGAUGUUUUUGGAAUAGGAAAGUUCAUAUUUCAUUUUUAUAAUAGAGAAAAAAGGAAGUGAAAGUAGAGAAAAAAUUAAUUUAGAAGAUUGAAGAUCUGAAUAAGAGAUGUCAAGUUUGUUGUAUAUCUA
This 449-nucleotide long non-coding RNA is filed under the name Polistes fuscatus (common paper wasp). RNAcentral describes it as "uncharacterized LOC122517004". The record is from RNAcentral. Lineage: Eukaryota; Metazoa; Arthropoda; Insecta; Hymenoptera; Vespidae.